Molecule: ribosomal RNA, 489 nt
Filed under: uncultured bacterium
Lineage: Bacteria
Description: partial 16S ribosomal RNA
Rfam family: Bacterial small subunit ribosomal RNA
Source: RNAcentral
GACGAACGCUGGCGGUGUGCUUAACACAUGCAAGUCGAACGGUGACGGGACCAGCUUGCUGGUUCUGGAUGAGUGGCGAACGGGCGAGUAACACGUGCGUCACCUUCUCCCUUCUUCUGGAUAACCGCAUGGAAGUGCGGCUACUACUGGCUCUUCUGGGUCUGUCGCAUGACGGGCCCGGGUUCGAUCUUGCUUCGGUGGGGUAUGGGCUCGCGGCCUAUCGGCUUGUUGGUGGGGUGAUGGCCUACCAAGGCGGUGACGUGUAGCCGGUCUGAGGAUGUGGACGAUCACACUGGAGCUGAGACACGGACCAGACUCGUACGGGAGGGAGCAGUGGAGAAUAUUGCACAAUGGGGGCAAGCCUGAUGCAGCGGCGCCGCUGGAGAGAGGGUGGCCUUCGUGUUGUAAACCUCUUGCGCAAGAGAAGCAGGCCGGCUACUUGUGGGUGGGUUGACGGUAGCUGAAUAAGAAGCGCCGGCUAACUACGUG